GGCCCGGUGGCGGAAUGUUUACGCGGGGGGCAGUGCAUCGCUCUUUGAUCCUGGUUCAAAUCCAGGCCGGGCCUCCA
This 77-nucleotide transfer RNA is filed under the name Tardiphaga sp. Its description in RNAcentral is "tRNA-His". The record is from RNAcentral. Lineage: Bacteria; Pseudomonadati; Pseudomonadota; Alphaproteobacteria; Hyphomicrobiales; Nitrobacteraceae.